GAAAACAUUUUUGAGAGAAAGUCAAGUACACGUCUGCACUCCGAAGUGGUCAACGGCAGCCUUGCUCUCACCACCACGUUGUCCGUCUGUUUUUAUACCAAACGCCCGACUUGAAGUGAAGCCUGCAUGAGAUGACCACGAGUUGUAAACCUGGACAACCACACAUACGCAUACCGAGGCAUGCACAUUAUGUGUCCAGUCCGUCUUAUCCCCCUGUUGAGAUCACACUCAUUUCAAGGAUCGUGAUUAUUUGUGAUAUGCAAGCGCUGCUGCGUAAAUACAUGGUUAUGACGCGCUUGCUCAACUUUCCUCUACGCAGGUGGUCAUGAUUUUACAAAACGUGACCACGAAGAUCUGAACUUGAGAGUCGGUGAAACGAGGCUAAGAUUUUUGAAAUUUUAAUUACGUUACAUUGUGACCUCCAAACUUUACACCUCAACAAAUGUACAAACAAGGAUUGCUUAAAUAGUAGAUUAAUACAUAAAUAAAACUGAUUGGGUGGGAAGCGUACAAAUGUACCAAGACAAUUAAAAUCUAUAACAAUCCUUAAAUUUGAUCAUUGUAAAUUUUAAUUGUGUAAUAAUAUAUUUCAGCGGAAUAUUUUCAUAUAUAAAUUAUUACCUCUCGAAAGCUCUACGACCUACAUAAGUAUUUCUACCUGCAUAUUUCCAAACAGUAACAAAAACAACAAAAAACGGUACAAACAG
Molecule: long non-coding RNA, 707 nt
Organism: Folsomia candida
Lineage: Eukaryota; Metazoa; Arthropoda; Collembola; Entomobryomorpha; Isotomidae
Exons: 2
Source: RefSeq, a predicted model, not a curated record